RNAcentral lists this ribosomal RNA (451 nucleotides) under uncultured bacterium. Its description in RNAcentral is "bacterial SSU rRNA". It matches the Rfam family "Bacterial small subunit ribosomal RNA", at positions 354 to 796 of the family's 1533-position model. The record is from RNAcentral.
GUGGGGAAUCUUGCGCAAUGGGCGAAAGCCUGACGCAGCAACGCCGCGUGGAGGAUGAAGGCCCUUGGGUUGUAAACUCCUGUCGGUUGGGAAGAAAUCGUGCGGUGCUCAUACCACUGCACGUUGACUGUACCAGCAAAGGAAGCCCCGGCUAACUCUGUGCCAGCAGCCGCGGUAAUACAGAGGGGGCCAGCGUUAUUCGGAAUUAUUGGGCGUAAAGGGCGCGUAGGCGGCCUUGCGUGUCUUUCGUGAAAUCCCUCGGCUUAACUGAGGACGUGCGGAAGAAACUGCAGGGCUCGAGUCCGGGAGAGGGGGGUGGAAUUCCCAGUGUAGCGGUGAAAUGCGUAGAUAUUGGGAGGAACACCGGUGGCGAAGGCGGCCCCCUGGACCGGUACUGACGCUGAGGCGCGAAAGCGUGGGGAGCAAACGGGAUUAGAAACCCGUGUAGUCC